UUAAAGGUUUUUUUUAAAACCAAAUUUAUACAAGUGAGAAUAUAG
This is a non-coding RNA of Ornithorhynchus anatinus (platypus), 45 nucleotides long. Lineage: Eukaryota; Metazoa; Chordata; Mammalia; Monotremata; Ornithorhynchidae. The record is from Rfam.